UUAUUACAAACCGAGAAGUGAAAAACAAUGUUAUCACCCUAUUCAAAGGGUUGAGAGAGUCUUGUUUGGAGUUGUGUGGGGUUGAAUAAUUAUAUUUGUAAUAUUUCAGAAGUUGGUAGAAAAAGAAAAUAGAAAAGAAAAAAAUGAAUGAAAAAAAAGAAGACGAUGGUUUAUACAUGUCAAUACAUACUUCUUAUGAAAAGCAAAAAAUAAAGAAAAAAAAGAGAAAGGAGAAGAAAAAUAUGAACGAAAACAGUUA
Molecule: long non-coding RNA, 259 nt
Filed under: Lathyrus oleraceus (garden pea)
Lineage: Eukaryota; Viridiplantae; Streptophyta; Magnoliopsida; Fabales; Fabaceae
Description: Pisum sativum (pea) long non-coding RNA (PSAT_LNC035743)
Source: RNAcentral